Molecule: ribosomal RNA, 1242 nt
Filed under: metagenome
Description: bacterial LSU rRNA
Rfam family: Bacterial large subunit ribosomal RNA
Source: RNAcentral
UGAAUACGAGACGCUAAGGCGUCGAAGUAGUGUAUGUCAUACUUCCAAGAAAAGCUUGCACUGUCAUAGAUAAAAAACGCCUGUACCAUAACCGACACAGGUGGGUAGGUAGAGUAUACUAAGGGGCGCGAGAUAACUCUCUCUAAGGAACUCGGCAAAAUAACUCCGUAACUUCGGGAGAAGGAGUGCCUUAUUCGUAAGGUUGCAAUAACAAGAUCCAAGCAACUGUUUAUCAAAAACACAGGUCUCCGCUAAGUCGUAAGACGAUGUAUGGGGGCUGACGCCUGCCCAGUGCCAGAAGGUUAAAGAAGUUGGUUAGCAAUUGCGAAGCUGAUAACUGAAGCCCUGGUGAACGGCGGCCGUAACUAUAACGGUCCUAAGGUAGCGAAAUUCCUUGUCGGGUAAGUUCCGACCCGCACGAAAGGCGUAAUGAUUUGAAUACUGUCUCGGAGAGGGGCUCGGUGAAAUAGACUUGUCUGUGAAGAUGCGGACUACCUGCACCAGGACAGAAAGACCCUAUGAAGCUUUACUGUAACUUGAAAUUGAAAUUGGACUUUAUUCGCGCAGUAUAGGUGGGAGGCGUUGAUUAUAAUCUUGUGGGAUUAUUGGAGCCAUCAGUGAGAUACCACUCUUGUAAUGUUAGAUUUCUAACUUUGAAUCAUUAUCUGGUCAAAGAACAGUUUCAGGCGGGCAGUUUGACUGGGGCGGUCGCCUCCUAAACGGUAACGGAGGCGUACAAAGGUUUCCUCUGAACGGUUAGAAAUCGUAUCUAGAGUGUAAAGGCAUAAGGAAGCUUGACUGUGAGACCUACAAGUCGAGCAGGGACGAAAGUCGGUCUUAGUGAUCUGACGGUACUGAGUGGAAAGGCCGUCACUCAACGGAUAAAAGUUACUCUAGGAUAACAGGCUGAUCUCCCCCAAGAGUUCACAUCGACGGGGAGGUUUGGCACCUCGAUGUCGGCUCAUCGCAUCCUGGGGCGGUAGUACGUCCCAAGGGUUGGGCUGUUCGCCCAUGAAAGCGGUACGCGAGCUGGGUUCAGAACGUCGUGAGACAGUUCGGUCCAUAUCCGGUGUAGGCGUUAGAAUAUUGAGAGGAGCCUUCUUUAGUACGAGAGGACCGAGAAGGACAUACCUCUGGUGUACCAGUUAUCGUGCCAACGGUAAACGCUGGGUAGCUAUGUAUGGAGUGGAUAACCGCUGAAAGCAUCUAAGUGGGAAGCCCACCUCAAGAUAAGUAUUCUCA